GAGCUAUUGAGAGCAGGGUCUCUGCCAUAUGACUAAGCUACCAAUGUUCCAUGUGUUUUCCUCUCAUGUGUGAUUGUUAUGCAUGCUCACUCUUCCAAUUUCUCUACUGAUUGCUCAGCACUCAAUCGACUGUGAGAGCAGCUCUCUGUACAUUGAAAAGCACCAAAGCUUAGUGGGAAGUUCAUGAAGAUAAUACAAAGCCUGAAAGGGUAGCCAUCAUCUGCCAAUAUGAGUACAAGUUGGGGGAAUAAGCCUCCAAGGUAUAUUACACUGGUUUUAAGAAAACUGUACAUCCAUGGAAAUUUGGAGGAAAACACUUGACUAAUUCAGGAAAAUUCACAAAAUAAUGUUUACAUAUGUUAUUUCAUUUUGUAUUUUUGUAUUAUUUUAUAUUUU
Molecule: long non-coding RNA, 396 nt
Filed under: Monodelphis domestica (gray short-tailed opossum)
Lineage: Eukaryota; Metazoa; Chordata; Mammalia; Didelphimorphia; Didelphidae
Description: lncRNA (ENSMODG00000043914.1)
Source: RNAcentral